This 912-nucleotide ribosomal RNA is filed under the name uncultured marine bacterium. RNAcentral describes it as "bacterial SSU rRNA". It matches the Rfam family "Bacterial small subunit ribosomal RNA", at positions 8 to 916 of the family's 1533-position model. The record is from RNAcentral.
AGAGUUUGAUCCUGGCUCAGGAUGAACGCUAGCGGCAGGCUUAACACAUGCAAGUCGAGGGGUAACAGGGAAAAGCUUGCUUUUCCGCUGACGACCGGCGAACGGGUGCGUAACGCGUAUAGAACCUACCUUUUACUGAGGGAUAGCCUUUAGAAAUGAAGAUUAAUACCUCAUAGUAUUUUAGAUUGGCAUCGAUUUAAAAUUAAAGAUUUAUUGGUAAAAGAUGGCUAUGCGUCCUAUUAGUUAGUUGGUGAGGUAACGGCUCACCAAGACAGCGAUAGGUAGGGGUCCUGAGAGGGAGAUCCCCCACACUGGUACUGAGACACGGACCAGACUCCUACGGGAGGCAGCAGUGAGGAAUAUUGGACAAUGGGCGAGAGCCUGAUCCAGCCAUGCCGCGUGCAGGAAGAAUGCCCUAUGGGUUGUAAACUGCUUUUAUACGGGAAGAAACACCCCCUCGUGAGGGGGCUUGACGGUACCGUAAGAAUAAGCACCGGCUAACUCCGUGCCAGCAGCCGCGGUAAUACGGAGGGUGCAAGCGUUAUCCGGAAUCAUUGGGUUUAAAGGGUCCGCAGGCGGUCAAUUAAGUCAGAGGUGAAAUCCCAUAGCUUAACUAUGGAACUGCCUUUGAUACUGGUUGACUUGAGUAAUACGGAAGUAGAUAGAAUGUGUAGUGUAGCGGUGAAAUGCAUAGAUAUUACACAGAAUACCGAUUGCGAAGGCAGUCUACUACGUAUAUACUGACGCUCAUGGACGAAAGCGUGGGGAGCGAACGGGAUUAGAUACCCCGGUAGUCCACGCCGUAAACGAUGGACACUAGUUGUUGGGAUUUAUCUCAGUGACUAAGCGAAAGUGAUAAGUGUCCCACCUGGGGAGUACGGUCGCAAGAUUGAAACUCAAAGGAAUUGACGG